GAUGAAGAACGCAGCGAAAUGCGAUAAGUAAUGUGAAUUGCAGAAUUCAGUGAAUCAUCGAAUCUUUGAACGCACAUUGCGCCCCCUGGUAUUCCGGGGGGCAUGCCUGUCCGAGCGUCAUUACAACCCUCAAGCUCAGCUUGGUAUUGGGCCCCGCCGCUCCGGCGGGCCCUAAAGUCAGUGGCGGUGCCGUCCGGCUCCGAGCGUAGUAAUUCUUCUCGCUCUGGACGUGCUGCGUGUUCCGGCCGUUAAACACCUUAUUUACCCAAGGUUGACCUCGGAUCAGGUAGGAAGACCCGCUGAACUUAAGCAUAUCAAUAAGCGGAGGA
Molecule: unclassified non-coding RNA, 329 nt
Filed under: soil metagenome
Description: partial contains 5.8S ribosomal RNA, internal transcribed spacer 2, and large subunit ribosomal RNA
Rfam family: 5.8S ribosomal RNA (bases 1-120)
Source: RNAcentral